AUACUUUUUUUUAAAAAAACAACAGGGGGUAUUCCCCAUUUCUCUCUAAAGUAGGCCCUAGGGUUCCAUUAGCCUCCAUCGGCCUCCCAUCGUACUGGCGACGAUGACCACCUCUGGUGGUGGCCAGAGAGACGCCCGGAGCCCGAUUUAAACCCUUCUUUCACAUGGAAGAAAGUUCAGGACCUCAAAACCCCUAAAUCAAACACAAAACUUCCAACUCUUAGCCUCCUCCAUCGAAGCUUUAACCGGAUCCCUAGGGAUCCGUCGGCUUUCAGACCAGAGAAGCAAACGCUGAGGAUAUCAACGCCAAAAUACGGGUUUGUGGGAGCGUUGCAACAGAGAAGGUGUUGACAUCACGUGAGGAGCUUCGCGGCGCAAAGGCUAGGGGCUAAGGUUUUCUCAUCCGAAAAUUUGUUUAAGUUUUGGGCCAUGGGCCUUCUAUUUUUUUGGGUUAGGGUUUGGGCCCAUUUUAAAAAAACUUAGACUGAUAAAUUUUAUUAAAAGCCUGGAUAAAAUUAGGCUAUUACAAUAAUUAUUUGACUGGUUUUCAUA
Molecule: long non-coding RNA, 552 nt
Organism: Gossypium arboreum
Lineage: Eukaryota; Viridiplantae; Streptophyta; Magnoliopsida; Malvales; Malvaceae
Exons: 2
Source: RefSeq, a predicted model, not a curated record